Molecule: transfer RNA, 71 nt
Filed under: Amphioctopus fangsiao
Lineage: Eukaryota; Metazoa; Mollusca; Cephalopoda; Octopoda; Octopodidae
Description: tRNA-Gly
Source: RNAcentral
AUUUUUACAUUAGUAUAAAAAGUAUAAUUCUUUUUUAAGCAAUUGUUUUAAUAAAUAUUUAAAGUAAAAUA